This 497-nucleotide ribosomal RNA is filed under the name uncultured bacterium. RNAcentral describes it as "partial 16S ribosomal RNA". It matches the Rfam family "Bacterial small subunit ribosomal RNA", at positions 28 to 507 of the family's 1533-position model. The record is from RNAcentral.
GAUGAACGCUGGCGGCGCGCCUAAUACAUGCAAGUCGAGCGAACAGACGAGGAGCUUGCUCCUCUGACGUUAGCGGCGGACGGGUGAGUAACACGUGGAUAACCUACCUAUAAGACUGGGAUAACUUCGGGAAACCGGAGCUAAUACCGGAUAACAUGUUGAACCGCAUGGUUCAACAGUGAAAGACGGUCUUGCUGUCACUUAUAGAUGGAUCCGCGCCGCAUUAGCUAGUUGGUAAGGUAACGGCUUACCAAGGCAACGAUGCGUAGCCGACCUGAGAGGGUGAUCGGCCACACUGGAACUGAGACACGGUCCAGACUCCUACGGGAGGCAGCAGUAGGGAAUCUUCCGCAAUGGGCGAAAUCCUGACGGAGCAACGCCGCGUGAGUGAAGAAGGUCUUCGGAUCGUAAAACUCUGUUAUUAGGGAAGAACAAAUGUGUAAGUAACUAUGCACGUCUUGACGGUACCUAAUCAGAAAGCCACGGCUAACUACGUG